GUACACUCAAACAGCAAUAGACUCAGUCCGUACAGGAUUUCGCUGAGGUAUUUUGUGAUUGCUACGGCCAAAAAUGCUUGAUUUUGCUACGACUUUUUUCGAAAUUGGCAGUGCAAAAAAAGGUGAAUUGGUGAAAUUGCAGUUGCACAACAUAGUUUUGCAUGGUCUUUUGCUGGUAAAUGAGACCUUUUAGCUGUACUUAUAAUCAACGCACGUGCAUUGAAGGUGGCUUUGGCUGCAUGUUGUGAUGACGUCACAUGACGCGUCUUGGACCAAGUCUGUGGAAAAUCUGCAGUAAUUUUGAAAAAUUGCUAAAAUUGCAGUGUUUCUUUGAUUUUGCAUUAAUCUGCGAUCGCAAAAUCCUGGAGCGACUAAUAGUCUUUAAUCCUGUUUAAUUACCCCAUGCCUGUUUAUCCCUCUAUUUAGUUUUACUUAUUAAUGCUGUCAAAGGAGUUAGAGCAUGAUGCAUCUUCCCUUUUCUUUCUUUUUUUUUCUUUUUUUUAACAGAUAAGUCCUUUGAUGUGACCAAGUUCUCUAGUAAUGGGAUCAUCACAACUAGCUUGAAUGACAUCAUGAGAGACUUCGAGAGCCUGAUAUGCAGGACUCAAGCUGAAGACUCACUGCCCAUUGUUCCGGCUCCAGAGCCAGAUUCGUGCAUGGAUGAGGAGGACAUGUCCCUAGACUCGGAUGAGGAUGCAACCAUGCAAGCGGAGGACAGGGCAGUGGAGAAGCAGGCCACUCUACCUCUUCAACCUGUGAGCGAGGACAUUCUGCCCCCUCUCUCUGACCCACAUAAAACAGUCCCUCUGUCCUCUUGUUCUGUGGAUUACAAUGUUCUCAAGGCGGCCAUCUCACAGUAUAAAGCUACUAAGCAGGCUGGAACAUCCAUGCCUGGGGGGGAGGACAACUUGGUUGGUUUUGGUGUGAACCCCCACCAGAGCUACUUGUACCCCAACUCAGCACAGUGGAGCCCCUAUUCCGGUUCUCCAGGCUAUCACAUGAGCUCUACCUAUUCUUCACCUGCAUGCUCAACUUUGCAAGGACAGGAGUACAGCCAAGUGAGCAGCAUGAGUGUAACCCCUGCCAGCACUGUCCCCCUGUCCCAAACUGCUAAUCAGGCUAACCCCAACUCUUCUUGUGUGAACCCACCUGCUAACACUGCUCCCCCGGGCCUGUCCCAAACCUCCUGCAGGGAGGACAUAGUUCCGGAUGGGCUGUCCUGCUCUCAACCCUUGCCUCAGGCUCAAACUCAGUCUCUUGAUGACAGUCAGCCAUUUUUGCCUGGCUCUCAAGAUACACAGACUAAAGCCAUGGAACCUCCUGUCCUCGCUUCCUCUUCUUCCUCCUCUAUACCUUGCACUAUGCCCAGCUACCCAGAUGGUCCUGUAUUCCCUGGGCCCAUACCCACACCCCCUGUGCCACCCAUGUAUAACUGGGCACCUCCAACAAGGGCACAGAAUAGCUAUGCUUCGGGGGGGAACACAGCACCUUUUGGGAAGAAUGAAGGUGCAGCAUCAACUGAAGGAUUAUGCAUAGGGCCUGGCGAGGGUUUGACUCUUAAUAAUAAAGUUGAUGGAAGUACGUCUGGCACACCGCCUUCCUCAUUACAGUACCAGGAUGGAGGGACUGAGAAAAGCAACACAUCGGGCAGUGUAAUGCCCUGCAGUCAGGGGAGUAGGACAUCAGUAGACUCUUGCACAGAGAGCCACAGAGGUGGCAUGACACAUGCCCGAGGCAUGACACAUGUCCGAGGCAUGUCUGGAGGGGGCAUGCCUUGCAACCCCAGAGGGCUCCUACCCCGGCCUGGAGUCACGAUGCGUCCUGCAUGCCGAGGAGGGCCACACGGGCCGAUCCCACACAGUGGGAACCGCAUGUUUGGCCCCCGAGGGCCCAUUCCAGGGCUUAUGGACAUCAGACGUGGAGGCUUCAGAGGUAGAGGAAUGCCCCCCAUGCCCAUGAGGUCCAGACCGGGCAGAGGGUCAAUGUGGGGAGGAACGCACUGUAACCGGGGCUAUGGUCCUCCAAAGGAUUACUACUCAGACUACACUUACUAAAAGGUUGGGAGCAGUCAGUACUUACAGACUACUGCCAUACAGAAUGUAUAUAGUCAACAUGAAGAGCACAUUUAAAUUUAAGGAAAAAAAGAGAAAGAAUUGGUUUUGUACCAUUAGAUCAACAAAUCAGACUGCGACCAGGAUUGUGUAACUCAAAAAUGCUCUUCUUUAAUGAGUUGUUUGAAACCUUGUUCAGACCACUAUAUUUAUAUCGCCAAGAAAUGUAAUUGCCUUUCAAUGUUUUUUUUUGUGUUAUAAUUUUCAAAAUGGUUUGUGAACAAGGGGCAAACGCAGACAAUAUUUUUUUAAAAAGAAAAAAGUGAAUCACUCUUCAUUUUAGCUGCUUUUGUUUUGUUUUGUUUUGUUUUUUUACAUUCUUGGUUGUACAAAUGUUCUAUUAAACAAGGUUGUAUCAAACAUAUUGUGUUGAGUAUAUUACCCUGAGAUUCUUUUAUUUAUAUUUAUGUUAAUACAUUUCAAAGCAUUGUUUGUUUACAGAUAUCGUAUUGAGGCUGUUGAAUCCCGCACACUUCUGCUGUCUGACCAAAAGAGGGCAGCUUUUCCUCUCGGUUUGGAGGAAUGUGGCAGAAUUGGAAUUAAGUUUCACCAUGCAGAGAUGAUUUUGUUUUAUUUGGAUGUAUUUUUUAAUCUUACACUUUUGUAGGUUUGGAAUAUAACUGCUCUGUUUUAUAAAUUUCUCUUAAGUGGGGAGACAGUUUGUGUCUUCAUUUUAUCAAUAUAUUGCCUCUUGUAUGUGUUCAACUAAAUCUACG
Molecule: long non-coding RNA, 2827 nt
Organism: Ictalurus punctatus (channel catfish)
Lineage: Eukaryota; Metazoa; Chordata; Actinopteri; Siluriformes; Ictaluridae
Source: Ensembl